Molecule: ribosomal RNA, 367 nt
Filed under: Kocuria sp.
Lineage: Bacteria; Bacillati; Actinomycetota; Actinomycetes; Micrococcales; Micrococcaceae
Description: bacterial SSU rRNA
Rfam family: Bacterial small subunit ribosomal RNA
Source: RNAcentral
GGCUCAGGACGAACGCUGGCGGCGUGCUUAACACAUGCAAGUCGAACGAUGAUGCCCAGCUUGCUGGGCGGAUUAGUGGCGAACGGGUGAGUAAUACGUGAGUAACCUGCCCUUGACUCUGGGAUAAGCCUGGGAAACUGGGUCUAAUACUGGAUACUACGUCCCAUCGCAUGGUGGGGGGUGGAAAGGGUUUUACUGGUUUUGGAUGGGCUCACGGCCUAUCAGCUUGUUGGUGGGGUAAUGGCUCACCAAGGCGACGACGGGUAGCCGGCCUGAGAGGGUGACCGGCCACACUGGGACUGAGACACGGCCCAGACUCCUACGGGAGGCAGCAGUGGGGAAUAUUGCACAAUGGGCGGAAGCCUGA